AACAUCGACCUCUUGAACGCAUAUUGCGGCCACGGGUUAGCCCGUGGCCACGCCUGUCCGAGGGUCGGCU
This 70-nucleotide ribosomal RNA is filed under the name Crepidostomum illinoiense. RNAcentral's name for it is "partial 5.8S ribosomal RNA". It matches the Rfam family "5.8S ribosomal RNA", at positions 88 to 154 of the family's 154-position model. Rfam says of the family: 5.8S ribosomal RNA (5.8S rRNA) is a component of the large subunit of the eukaryotic ribosome. It is transcribed by RNA polymerase I as part of the 45S precursor that also contains 18S and 28S rRNA. Functionally, it is thought that 5.8S rRNA may be involved in ribosome translocation. The record is from RNAcentral. Lineage: Eukaryota; Metazoa; Platyhelminthes; Trematoda; Plagiorchiida; Allocreadiidae.